Cyprinus carpio carpio is the source of this 1429-nucleotide long non-coding RNA. The record is from Ensembl. NCBI's taxonomy places the organism in Eukaryota, Metazoa, Chordata, Actinopteri, Cypriniformes, Cyprinidae.
UUCUUUACUUCUACAUUCGUUGAACUCAUUCAACUUUCUUAAAGACAAUCAAUUGCAUUUCAAAUAUAAAAAUAAAACAAACCACAUUCAGAAACAUGAAACAGACAGACUUCGGAGCAACAACAUAUUUUGUCUUAUUAAUAUUAGUCAAGCCAAAAUUUUAAUUUGCAUUAGGGCCUGUUAGUCUAAGCUGUUGUGUACUAAGGUGAUUAGGAUCAUUUGUUAAGAUAUAAAUGCAGUGUGAAUCAAUGGUGAAGUCUGCUAUGAGUUAUACGAUUAUAUAUAUUACACCAACCACUUAUUAACAGAUAAUAACUGAUUAUAGAACAGCAUAGAAACAAGUUUUUAAUACAUUAAUAAUAACAACUUACAAGUGUAUAAUAUACAGUCAGUGUAAAAGACCACAGCAGACAUUAUGAGGAAAACUCCAAUGAUGGAUUUUUAUUGUGUGAGACCGAGAGCAUUAUAGGGGACACUAAGAUGAAUUUUCAGUGUUAAAAAAAUUCCAAAAAACGCUUUAAAUUCUUUUUCUUUGAAUCCCGUAGUUUCAAAAAAGUCCUCUAUAACAACAGAAGGGUUUUUCUGGCCUCCUAACAAAGCCCAGUUAUGUUUUCGACAAAUUGCAAAGGUGGUAUGAUUCUUAAAAAGCCAGGAGUCACCAUCUAAUGCUGAACCUGGAAUGUAAGCAGUUUGUCUCUUUUCUUCUACAUUUGCUGAACUCGUUCCUCUUUCUUAAAGACAAUCAAUUACGUUUAAAAGAAAAAUAAAACAAACCCCAUACAGAAACAUCACAGACUCCAGAGCAACAUCACGAGCACUAACGGACAUACAGACUGAGAGCCUCCUCCCACUCCAAAACCAAGCUACAGACCAUCCGCUUUAAAAAAAAAAAAAAGAAAGAAAGAAAGAAGAGAUAAAAACAGAAAAUCAACAAAACGAAAGAAAGACGCCGCCUUUUUCCACACCUCUCGUGUUGUAGACACCUAAUACAGCUGCGGCCGAACACAAGACUCGUUUAGUCAGCUUUGUUUUUUGUGCUAAAAACCUGAACCAGUAUUUACAAAUUCGCUGAUAAAAAUAUUCCUCUGGUGGUGAUGGGCAGAGAGGAGGUUGUUGAGAGAGAAUAUUGGGAAAGAGAGAGGAAGAUAAAAGAAAGGAAAGAGGGGAAAGGGAAAGGACGGACGGAUGGAUGGACAGGCGUGGUGCUACUCUGUCUUCGGGUCCUCCUUCUCGGCCUCCGCCGCCUCGUCUGGAGUUUUCUCAACCUGUGGAAUAAAAAGGACAACCAAUCAGAAUCUUACUUUGGAGACAGAGGAGGUCAGGUUUAGAAAAGUCUCCUUAGUUUAGGCUGUAAGUGUCUUUCUAGGCAAUUAUUUGAACUAUGUUACUAAGUACUUUGGCAAUCUCAUUAGGAAAUAUGAAAUAAAAC